AGAGUUUGAUCAUGGCUCAGGAUGAACGCUAGCGGCAGGCUUAACGCAUGCAAGUCGAGGGGCAGCGCGGGGCGGCAACGUCCUGGCGGCGACCGGCGGAAGGGUGCGUAACGCGUGAGCGACAUGCCCGUUGCCCGGGGACAACCGGUGGAAACGCCGACUAAUCCCCGAUGGGAUACGAUGCUUCAUGGCAUUGUAUUGAAAGUUACGGCGGCGACGGAUUGGCUCGCGUCCGAUUAGCUUGUUGGCGGGGUAACGGCCCACCAAGGCUACGAUCGGUAGGGGUUCUGAGAGGAAGGCCCCCCACAAUGGGACUGAGACACGGCCCAUACUCCUACGGGAGGCAGCAGUGAGGAAUAUUGGUCAAUGGGCGGAAGCCUGAACCAGCCAUGCCGCGUGCGGGAAGGAGGCCCUAUGGGCUGUGAACCGCUUUUGCCUGGGGGCAAUAAGGGCGUCGCGCACGUCCGAUGAGAGUACCAGGCGAAUAAGCAUCGGCUAACUCCGUGCCAGCAGCCGCGGUAAUACGGGGGAUGCGAGCGUUAUCCGGAUUCAUUGGGUUUAAAGGGUGCGUAGGCUGUGCGUCAAGUCGGGGGUGAAAUUCCGGUGCUCAACACCGGGGCUGCCCUUGAUACUGUCGCGCUGGAGUGCGGAUGCCGCCGGAGGAAUGAGUGGUGUAGCGGUGAAAUGCUUAGAUAUCACUCAGAACACCGAUUGCGAAGGCAUCUGGCGAAUCCGUAACUGACGCUGAGGCACGAAAGCGUGGGGAUAGAACAGGAUUAGAUACCCUGGUAUUCCACGCCGUAAACGAUGAUGGCUAACCGCCGGCGACACACUGUCGGUGGCCAAGCGAAAGCGAUAAGCCAUCCACCUGGGGAGUACGUCGGCAACGAUGAAACUCAAAGGAAUUGACGGGGGCCCGCACAAGCGGAGGAACAUGUGGUUUAAUUCGAUGAUACGCGAGGAACCUUACCCGGGCUUGAAUUGCAGAGGAAGGAUUUGGAGACAAUGACGCCCUUCGGGGCCUCUGUGAAGGUGCUGCAUGGUUGUCGUCAGCUCGUGCCGUGAGGUGUCGGCUUAAGUGCCAUAACGAGCGCAACCCCUCUCCUUAGUUGCCAUCAGGUUAAGCUGGGCACUCUGGGGACACUGCCACCGUAAGGUGUGAGGAAGGUGGGGAUGACGUCAAAUCAGCACGGCCCUUACGUCCGGGGCUACACACGUGUUACAAUGGCAGGUACAGAGAGACGGUCCCUUGCAAAACGGAUCAAAUCCUUAAAGCCUGUCUCAGUUCGGACUGGGGUCUGCAACCCGACCCCACGAAGCUGGAUUCGCUAGUAAUCGCGCAUCAGCCAUGGCGCGGUGAAUACGUUCCCGGGCCCUGUACACACCGCCCGUCAAGCCAUGAAAGCCGGGGGCGCCUAAAGUCCGUGACCGUAAGGAGCGGCCUAGGGCGAAACUGGUAAUUGGGGCUAAGUCGUAACAAGGUA
This 1484-nucleotide ribosomal RNA is filed under the name metagenome. Its description in RNAcentral is "bacterial SSU rRNA". It matches the Rfam family "Bacterial small subunit ribosomal RNA". The record is from RNAcentral.